Molecule: ribosomal RNA, 300 nt
Filed under: uncultured Sinobacteraceae bacterium
Lineage: Bacteria; Pseudomonadati; Pseudomonadota; Gammaproteobacteria; Nevskiales; Nevskiaceae
Description: bacterial SSU rRNA
Rfam family: Bacterial small subunit ribosomal RNA
Source: RNAcentral
UGCUUCGGAAUCUACCCAGUAGUGGGGAAUAACUAACCGAAAGGUUAGCUAAUACCGCAUACGUCCUACGGGAGAAAGCGGGGGUCGCAAGACCUCGCGCUAUUGGAUGAGCCGAAGUCGGAUUAGCUAGUUGGUGAGGUAACGGCUCACCAAGGCGACGAUCCGUAGCUGGUCUGAGAGGACGACCAGCCACACUGGAACUGAGACACGGUCCAGACUCCUACGGGAGGCAGCAGUGGGGAAUAUUGGACAAUGGGGGAAACCCUGAUCCAGCGACGCCGCGUGUGUGAAGAAGGCCUG